RNAcentral lists this ribosomal RNA (440 nucleotides) under uncultured bacterium. RNAcentral's name for it is "partial 16S ribosomal RNA". It matches the Rfam family "Bacterial small subunit ribosomal RNA", at positions 338 to 795 of the family's 1533-position model. The record is from RNAcentral.
CCUACGGGGGACAGCAGUAGGGAAUAUUGCGCAAUGGGGGAAACCCUGAAGCAGCAACGCCGCGUGGAGGAUGAAGGUUUUCGGAUUGUAAACUCCUUUUGUUAGAGAAGAGAAUGACGGUAUCUAACGAAUAAGCACCGGCUAACUCCGUGCCAGCAGCCGCGGUAAUACGGAGGGUGCAAGCGUUACUCGGAAUCACUGGGCGUAAAGGGCGCGUAGGCGGGAUAGCAAGUCAGAUGUGAAAUCCUAUGGCUUAACCAUAGAACUGCAUUUGAAACUGUUAUUCUAGAGUAUGGGAGAGGUAGGUGGAAUUCUUGGUGUAGGGGUGAAAUCCGUAGAGAUCAAGAGGAAUACUCAUUGCGAAGGCGACCUGCUAGAACAUAACUGACGCUGAUGCGCGAAAGCGUGGGGAGCAAACAGGAUUAGAUACCCUUGUAGUC